This 738-nucleotide ribosomal RNA is filed under the name uncultured Staphylococcus sp. Its description in RNAcentral is "bacterial SSU rRNA". It matches the Rfam family "Bacterial small subunit ribosomal RNA", at positions 61 to 781 of the family's 1533-position model. The record is from RNAcentral. Lineage: Bacteria; Bacillati; Bacillota; Bacilli; Caryophanales; Staphylococcaceae.
GUCGAGCGAACGGAUGAGAAGCUUGCUUCUCUGAUGUUAGCGGCGGACGGGUGAGUAACACGUGGAUAACCUACCUAUAAGACUGGGAUAACUUCGGGAAACCGGAGCUAAUACCGGAUAAUAUUUUGAACCGCAUGGUUCAAAAGUGAAAGACGGUCUUGCUGUCACUUAUAGAUGGAUCCGCGCUGCAUUAGCUAGUUGGUAAGGUAACGGCUUACCAAGGCAACGAUGCAUAGCCGACCUGAGAGGGUGAUCGGCCACACUGGAACUGAGACACGGUCCAGACUCCUACGGGAGGCAGCAGUAGGGAAUCUUCCGCAAUGGGCGAAAGCCUGACGGAGCAACGCCGCGUGAGUGAUGAAGGUCUUCGGAUCGUAAAACUCUGUUAUUAGGGAAGAACAUAUGUGUAAGUAACUGUGCACAUCUUGACGGUACCUAAUCAGAAAGCCACGGCUAACUACGUGCCAGCAGCCGCGGUAAUACGUAGGUGGCAAGCGUUAUCCGGAAUUAUUGGGCGUAAAGCGCGCGUAGGCGGUUUUUUAAGUCUGAUGUGAAAGCCCACGGCUCAACCGUGGAGGGUCAUUGGAAACUGGAAAACUUGAGUGCAGAAGAGGAAAGUGGAAUUCCAUGUGUAGCGGUGAAAUGCGCAGAGAUAUGGAGGAACACCAGUGGCGAAGGCGACUUUCUGGUCUGUAACUGACGCUGAUGUGCGAAAGCGUGGGGAUCAAACAGGAUUAG